Molecule: ribosomal RNA, 514 nt
Filed under: Providencia sp. EGU637
Lineage: Bacteria; Pseudomonadati; Pseudomonadota; Gammaproteobacteria; Enterobacterales; Morganellaceae
Description: bacterial SSU rRNA
Rfam family: Bacterial small subunit ribosomal RNA
Source: RNAcentral
ACUACGAAAGAACCUAACCUACUCUUGACAUCCAGAGAAUUUAGCAGAGAUGCUUUGGUGCCUUCGGGAACUCUGAGACAGGUGCUGCAUAAAAAUAGUCAGCUCGUGUUGUGAAAUGUUGGGUUAAGUCCCGCAACGAGCGCAACCCUUAUCCUUUGUUGCCAGCGAUUCGGUCGGGAACUCAAAGGAGACUGCCGGUGAUAAACCGGAGGAAGGUGGGGAUGACGUCAAGUCAUCAUGGCCCUUACGAGUAGGGCUACACACGUGCUACAAUGGCGUAUACAAAGAGAAGCGACCUCGCGAGAGCAAGCGGAACUCAUAAAGUACGUCGUAGUCCGGAUUGGAGUCUGCAACUCGACUCCAUGAAGUCGGAAUCGCUAGUAAUCGUAGAUCAGAAUGCUACGGUGAAUACGUUCCCGGGCCUUGUACACACCGCCCGUCUCCACGUGGAGUGGGUUGCAAAAGAAGUAGGUAGCUUAACCUCGGGAGGGCGCUACCACUUUGAGCAUUUGGG